AAAGUUUCAGCCACAGCAACCAUUAACUAUGUAUAUUCAUGAGAGAAUUCACACUGUCAGAAAUCUCCAUUGAUGAAAUGAAUAUUGGAUAGGCUUCCGAUGCAGAUAAUCAUUUGAAAAUUCAAGACUAAAGAAUAAUCGUGGGAUUCUAAAGAUUUAUGAUCUUGUUGAUUGCAGCUUCGCCUCCAGCUCCUGACUCUCGGGCCCAUCAUGUCCACCUGGGGCUCAUUCUUCUAGGCUCUUCUUGGUGCCCACGAGUUCCCAGAGGCAGAUCUGACGGCUCGUCAUCUCUCAUGGAGGACGUUCCCAAACUUGGCAAAAUGACAGAUCCUUGACAUGCUGAGGAUUGUUUCAGUUACAAGUAUUAAGCAUCUUCGGCAGGUUGCUAAAGAGCUGGUUCCCUAGGAGGGUCUGAGCACUGUGUUCUGGAGCCUGAGCAGAACAUGCAGAGAAGGGACCACAGCUGGAAGGUGGGAGGAGAUCUGAUGGAGGAUAAGGGCAAGGAUAAGAUGACCACCCUCUGGGAGCCCGGGAGAAGUACAGAAAGACCUUCUGAGAGGACAGAGCUGGUGACGGGUGCCCGAAGCUUGCUGUGAGCCAGGAAGAACUCUAGGAAAGGAAUGGCGGGCAGGGACAGCAACCACUCACCUGCCCAGAGUGUCAAGAGGGAAGGGGCGCUAUGUGGGGGAGCAAACUCCUUUUUCCAUUUUGUUUUUCAGUUGACAAGUAUUUUUUCUUUAUCUUCCUAGCCCCUCCUACCAUUUAAUAGGAAAACAAAACUCUUACAACAAAUACAUAUCAGGCAAAACAGAUUUCCAGUAUCCCAACAGAGUCCCAGUAUCCAUAUUCAAAAAUACUCUCAUUCUGUUUGUUGAAUCCAUCACCUGUCAGGUAAUCAGGACAGAUCAUCCUAAUUCCUCUGGAAUCACGGUCACUCAUUAAUCAAAGAUCUUGAAUCUUCCAGAAUUGUUUAUAUUUUUAUAAAACUGUUAAAUUAUAGGAAUGGUUAGAGAAUCAUUAUAAACCCUUGCUUUUAGCUGAUACAAGGAAGUCCUCUAAGUCUCUAAGGAGAUAAUGGUAGCUCAUUGAUGGAUAUUCUUUCUUAUGGGUUUGGCUAAGAGUUCUGUUUCCAUUAACUCAUGAAUAAGAUUGUUCUGUAGUUCAUUGAUGGCUAUUCUUUUCUCUGGGCUUGGACGUUAGCUCUGUAGAUUUCUAGUAACUUGCAAAUAAAAUUGUUCGUGUUAUGAGACUUGUGAGCCCAUGUGCUUGUAAGAAGAUCUGGUGGUU
RNAcentral lists this long non-coding RNA (1287 nucleotides) under Sarcophilus harrisii (Tasmanian devil). Its description in RNAcentral is "lncRNA (ENSSHAG00000024870.1)". Lineage: Eukaryota; Metazoa; Chordata; Mammalia; Dasyuromorphia; Dasyuridae. The record is from RNAcentral.